GGGCUGUCUCCGCCGAGUCCGGCCCCGCCGCGAGGCGGCUGGAGCCGGGGACCCACGCGCACCACCGGGGUGAAUCGGGCCGCGCGGCGACCCAGCCGCCGCACGGCCCGUAGGGCAGCCUUCCGACGCCCGAACCCGACAGCUAACCCGGUAGGCGGUCCACGGAAGGAGUC
Molecule: small RNA, 173 nt
Filed under: Streptomyces sparsogenes
Lineage: Bacteria; Bacillati; Actinomycetota; Actinomycetes; Kitasatosporales; Streptomycetaceae
Description: c-di-AMP sequence
Rfam family: c-di-AMP riboswitch aptamer (ydaO/yuaA leader)
About the family: This family represents a conserved RNA structure found upstream of the ydaO and yuaA genes in Bacillus subtilis and related genes in other bacteria. The ydaO/yuaA element is thought to act as a genetic "off" switch for the ydaO and yuaA genes in its native state.
Source: RNAcentral